AACCCUAGUCAAUAGACCCACGGCGUAAAACGUGUUUAAGGAACUUCCCUAUAAAGUCAAACCCUAGCUAUGCUGUAAAAAGCUACAGCUACUGUAAGCCCUAAUACGAAAGUAACUUUAAAAUGCCUGAAUACACGACAGCUAAGAUCCAAACUGGGAUUAGAUACCCCACUAUGCUUAGCCCUAAACCUAAAGAGCCCUCCUAACAAGGCUCUUCGCCAGAGUACUACUAGCCAAAGCUUAAAACUCAAGGGACUUGGCGGUGCUUUAUAUCCCUCUAGAGGAGCCUGUUCUAUAAUCGAUAAACCCCGAUAAACCUCACCAACCCUUGCCAACU
This 337-nucleotide ribosomal RNA is filed under the name Platyrrhinus fusciventris. Its description in RNAcentral is "Platyrrhinus sp. PPMV-2009b partial 12S ribosomal RNA". It matches the Rfam family "Bacterial small subunit ribosomal RNA", at positions 536 to 989 of the family's 1533-position model. Lineage: Eukaryota; Metazoa; Chordata; Mammalia; Chiroptera; Phyllostomidae. The record is from RNAcentral.